GCCUUGCCAUGAUUUUGGAUCUGGCUAUGUCGCAUGCGUGGCGAGGUGAAGAGGAUGGAUGCUGGAAGCAAAAGAAAAUGUUAGUCUUAAUCCAUGCCAACUCAAUAGACACCUUCGAAGAUACUGCGAAGCACCACAAUCAAACAAAACGGUUACCGGGGUUGAGUUGACAAGGAACAUAUCCAGUAUGACAUCCGGGUCUUCCUGGGUCUCCUCGGCAUUGACGUGAUUCACACGACCCUUGUCAAUGUUGGGCUGAUUGUGGGGAGUUGAGGAUCUCGCACGAUUGGAUAACGCGUGAGAUGCUGGCUCGCGAGGAGGCGUGCAUCCACCUGUAACGAGUGUUUUCCUUUCCCUAUUCUAAUAUUCAAUGAAGUUGGUGCUUCUUACGUGUUUCUCUAUUAAAAAAAACUGAAAUUCGUAAAACUGAUAAUCAAACACAUAUUUAUUUGGUCAGGGAAAACGAAACGUAUUCCACGCUUCCAGCAAACCAAUAUGUGGAUGGAUAAUUAGAUGAACAAUAAUAUGCUUGUAUAUAAGCGCUUGCGUUUGUAUUAUCUUAAAAAAAAAGUUACUCGAGCCAAGAGUGAAGCGCGUGCCGUGGACGGACUGGGGGAGGGAUGUUUGCGUCGCGUAGUCUCCCCAAAUUAUUUUCCACCAGUGGAGUCUUCAGUCUCUACCGAAAUAGUAUCCGCAAAUCAGUAGAUGUAGUAUGUGGAGGAGUUAGCAGCACACCGUCGCCGCUCAAGGCUCUGACC
This 758-nucleotide long non-coding RNA is filed under the name Hordeum vulgare. RNAcentral's name for it is "long non-coding RNA (HVUL_LNC020289)". The record is from RNAcentral. Lineage: Eukaryota; Viridiplantae; Streptophyta; Magnoliopsida; Poales; Poaceae.